Long non-coding RNA from Zonotrichia leucophrys gambelii, 1068 nucleotides. RefSeq lists it as uncharacterized. The transcript is spliced from 3 exons. The record is from RefSeq and is a predicted model, not a curated record. Lineage: Eukaryota; Metazoa; Chordata; Aves; Passeriformes; Passerellidae.
CCUACUGCUUUGAAUCUCAACUUAAAAACGUGUGUGUUAUAUUUUACACAGGCUCCUUGGUUGUCACUGUGACCCUCUGGCUUGUACACCACCACAAAAUUUCAGUCACAGAACUGAAGGAUUGCUGGACAUUUUUCUUUUUAGAAUAAACAGAAAGCACUAAAUGCAAGCAAGAGGGCUACAGCAACAAGAAAAUUUCAUUGUAAUAAAUACCACAUGUGAUCACGAUUUACGAAGCAGACAAUAAAGAGUAAUUUAAAAAGAGAAAUCCUUCUAUUCUCUUUCAUGUGGCUAAAGGCAGCAUAAUUUUUGGCUGUCUUUACUAGAGAUUUACUCAAAGAUUUAACACCCCCUUCUGUUUUUCUUCUCCUGGAAGCUCAGAGGAGGACACUUUAUUAACUUGCUAUUCUUUAGAUUCACAUCUGACCUCUGAUUUCUUUUAUCAUGGAGAUAGUUGAGAGAAGGUAGCAGAGUGUAACCAAUUCCAAGGCAUCUGUUUAUAAAUUAGUGGUGCUGGUGAUGUCUGGAUCUUAGUACUGCAAAGUCCUCCUUGAAACCACUCCUUGUUCAUUCUUCCCAGAGCAUCCCAGGAGAAAGGAUUUUACCACUAAAACCUUGGGAAGAAAGGAACCCUCUUCCCCAUUGCAAAGCUGGUAUUGUUUGGGAUACCCUGCUGGGCUUCUGAAGAGAAGUGAUGACAGACGCCCUGUGACAGACGUAAAAUCCAGCUCUGGAAUCCCAACAGCAAAUCCAGCGUGUGAGCAAAGGCUGCUCUGGCUUGUGUGGGUCUUCAUGGUCGCCUGCCAGUUUCAAACCAGGCUGUGUCAGUGGAGAACUGUAAAUGCUUCUUGGGAGAACUGGCUGCUCUGAAGAACUGAAAUGGGGAACAUAACUUACAACUCUGAAAUGGGCAGUGCAGUUCCUGGAGAAACAAUGAUUGCAACACAGGCAUAUGGAGAUCUCAGCUGUAAAACCCUGUAAGGCAGAUAAGCCACCAGGGAUUCUCUUGUACCAUACUGGGAAGAUUCCUGGUCCUCAGUACAGAUGUGAGACAUGCAGUGAGAAAGA